AUGUUGUGGACCUUUUCUGAUUGCAUGGCACAGAAGCAUCCGAUAUCUGUGAUCACAGAUGGGGACCUUGCAAUGCAGAGAGCAAUAAGGGUGGUCUGGCCAGACUCAAACCAUAGACUAUGUAUAUGGCACAUUCAGCAGAACAUUGUACGCCAUCUGCAUGAUGACGACGUAAAGGAGGAAUGCAGAUCUUUCAUUUAUGAUACUUCUUCCAUUGAAGAGCAUGAGAUAAAAUGGAUACAAUUCUUACAACGGAAUAAAGUAACUAGUGAGGAGUCUUGGCUACAUCAGAUGUAUCACAUGAGAAAGUUGUGGUGUGCUCCAUAUCUUGAGGGGCGUUGUUUCCUAGGAUUGAGCAGCAAUCAGAGGAGUGAGAGCUUGAACUCUGUGCUACAUACGCAUCUUGAGGGUAAGAUGUCGUUGUUUGAAAUGCUAGAACACUAUGAGCGUUGCCUUGCGUCGCGACGGAUUAACGAAGCUCUCCAUGACGUCGAAGCCUUGCAGUCCGUUCCAUUUACAGAGGAAAAUGCUUCGCCGCUUGAGAAACAUGCCGCAACAGUUUUCAAACCUAGUGUCUUUAAGAUGGUCUUAUGGAGCAUAGAUGCUGUCAGCAAAUGUCAGAUCAGAGAGAUACUAGAUGGAUCAGAAGAUUCCACUUAUGUUGUGUCCAAGGAGGAAAGAAUGGAUAAAAGUUUGGAGUGCGCAUUGAAGAGCAAGGAGGUCUUUUGCACAGGGUGA
This 738-nucleotide ribosomal RNA is filed under the name Triticum aestivum (bread wheat). Its description in RNAcentral is "partial small subunit ribosomal RNA". Lineage: Eukaryota; Viridiplantae; Streptophyta; Magnoliopsida; Poales; Poaceae. The record is from RNAcentral.